GUGAAAGUGAAAGUUAAUGGCAGGAAGCGUCCCUGAGAAGCAGCAAUAAACAUCCUCCUCCCUGCUGUCAUCCUGGGGAGUCAGGAUGACAAACUCCCGGGCUGCAGCGGUGCAGGGGGGCCCCGGACCCCCCUUCUCGUCCGGACCCUUCCCAGCUGUGAGCCUCUGCCCGCCUGGGUCCUCCGGGGCCCCGCUGGUCGGAGUGAUCUAUUGCCGGUGUCCGUCCGGCCAGAAGCGGCUCCGUCCCGCUGCAGCGCGGCGCUCCGGAGGCCCGUGUUUAGCCCGGUCCAGGAAACAGGCCCUUCCUCCGCCUAAACACGGAGGGCCGCCUGGGGACCAGCAGCGGCGUGCUGCGGGGAGCGAGGCCCGGCAGGUCAACGAGGACGCGCACGACAUGACAUGAACGGGCACCACCUUAAUCCAAACCUGUGCGUAAAAGCGAACCAAGCGCACUGACGGAGUUUGAACCAAUUAGGUUAAAGCUUCAGCUGGUGGUUGAGAAGUUGCAGAGGCUGUCGGAGUUCAUCCAUCAGGAUGACAGAGGUCGUGUGAGUGGGAACUUUCUCUGCAUCUUCUGUUAAAGUGAGUUCCUACAGCACAGAGGAGCAGCUCUGGAGGAAAACACGGCUGUUUGUUUGCCAGAAGUCUCCUCCACCUGCCGAGUGUCCAGAGAGGAAAAACCCUCAGGAGGAGCGGAGGGAGAGGGGUGACAGAGGCCGAGGGGUCCUGCUGCAAAACGGAAAGGGGAGCUGAUAGGAGCAGAUUAGACCGGGCUAAAAACGUCAGUCAGUUUUCUUGGAGGAAUUUUAAUUGCCCCGGGGGGCCCUGCUUAUCGACCCGCAGCGGUUAUUAAUACAACACCCGCGAUAAAGAGGACGGAGGGACACCGAGCAGCUGCUGGAGGACGAGGAGGCUGUAAAAUCCAACAUAGAUCCAGUCUGUAAAGAGUUUAUAGCUGCUCAGUGUUCAGCAGUACACAGAGGACUGAGCCUCAGGAGUGAGUGACAGAUUUAAAACUCAAACAGACAUUUUUAUGGUUCCGUUAUUUUAUGAAAUGGGAAAGCUUUCUGGAGUCGAUUCCCCGAUGUACAGUCUGACAAAUUUGAAUGCUUGCCAUCUCCUCUGAAAAAAAAUUAGAGGAAGGAAUAGAGGUUUGAAAAAGCUUGGUGAGAUAUCCUUGUAAGGAGCCAC
Molecule: long non-coding RNA, 1191 nt
Organism: Amphiprion ocellaris (clown anemonefish)
Lineage: Eukaryota; Metazoa; Chordata; Actinopteri; Pomacentridae
Source: Ensembl